This 700-nucleotide ribosomal RNA is filed under the name Bacillus sp. SKS66. RNAcentral's name for it is "bacterial SSU rRNA". It matches the Rfam family "Bacterial small subunit ribosomal RNA", at positions 636 to 1336 of the family's 1533-position model. The record is from RNAcentral. Lineage: Bacteria; Bacillati; Bacillota; Bacilli; Caryophanales; Bacillaceae.
GGGAACUUGAGUGCAGAAGAGGAGAGUGGAAUUCCACGUGUAGCGGUGAAAUGCUAAGAGAUGUGGAGGAACACCAGUGGCGAAGGCGACUCUCUGGUCUGUAACUGACGCUGAGGAGCGAAAGCGUGGGGAGCGAACAGGAUUAGAUACCCUGGUAGUCCACGCCGUAAACGAUGAGUGCUAAGUGUUAGGGGGUUUCCGCCCCUUAGUGCUGCAGCUAACGCAUUAAGCACUCCGCCUGGGGAGUACGGUCGCAAGACUGAAACUCAAAGGAAUUGACGGGGGCCCGCACAAGCGGUGGAGCAUGUGGUUUAAUUCGAAGCAACGCGAAGAACCUUACCAGGUCUUGACAUCCUCUGACAAUCCUAGAGAUAGGACGUCCCCUUCGGGGGCAGAGUGACAGGUGGUGCAUGGUUGUCGUCAGCUCGUGUCGUGAGAUGUUGGGUUAAGUCCCGCAACGAGCGCAACCCUUGAUCUUAGUUGCCAGCAUUCAGUUGGGCACUCUAAGGUGACUGCCGGUGACAAACCGGAGGAAGGUGGGGAUGACGUCAAAUCAUCAUGCCCCUUAUGACCUGGGCUACACACGUGCUACAAUGGACAGAACAAAGGGCAGCGAAACCGCGAGGUUAAGCCAAUCCCACAAAUCUGUUCUCAGUUCGGAUCGCAGUCUGCAACUCGACUGCGUGAAGCUGGAAUCGCU